Molecule: transfer RNA, 72 nt
Filed under: Methylacidiphilales bacterium
Lineage: Bacteria; Pseudomonadati; Verrucomicrobiota; Methylacidiphilae; Methylacidiphilales
Also listed under: 1 other name
Description: Candidatus Methylacidiphilales bacterium tRNA-Glu
Rfam family: tRNA
About the family: Transfer RNA (tRNA) molecules are approximately 80 nucleotides in length. Their secondary structure includes four short double-helical elements and three loops (D, anti-codon, and T loops).
Source: RNAcentral
GGUCCCAUGGAGUAGCGGUUAGCUCGCCUCCCUCUCACGGAGGUCGCACGGGUUCGAAUCCCGUUGGGACUA